This is a long non-coding RNA of Tupaia belangeri chinensis (Chinese tree shrew), 371 nucleotides long. RefSeq lists it as uncharacterized. NCBI's taxonomy places the organism in Eukaryota, Metazoa, Chordata, Mammalia, Scandentia, Tupaiidae. The transcript is spliced from 3 exons. The record is from RefSeq and is a predicted model, not a curated record.
GGGUCAGCGUUCAACAGACACGUAGGACUCCAAUCACGGGCCACCUACCCACUAUAAGGGACAGCCUGGGCUUCCUUCACAUCCGGUGAACUGUCACCCUUACAAGAACCCUCCUUCCCACAAUGGCAGGAGACAAAGCAGAAGCCUUGAGGAGGAGUCUCAGAAGGACCCUGCCAAAGGGACACCCAUCCUUUCUCUGGAAGAGAACAGAGCCUGCUGCCCUAGUCAUCUCUUCUGAACAUUCCAGAAGGCAGUGCAGCAUAGCAGCCCCAGACGGACCUGCGAUCAAACGCUGCUAACAAGCUAUGCAACUUAGGUCAAAGCACGCAACCUCUCUCAGUUCGUUUCCUCCUCUGUAAAAUGACAAUAAU